RNAcentral lists this long non-coding RNA (919 nucleotides) under Helianthus annuus (common sunflower). Lineage: Eukaryota; Viridiplantae; Streptophyta; Magnoliopsida; Asterales; Asteraceae. The record is from RNAcentral.
AUUAUGUAGUUUGAUAUUUAAACAUGAAUUUUCUAUUGUAUAGACAUUUGUUUUAUAUUUUUGUUUCCUUUUGAUGGUUUAUUGUUUUAUAAUUGUGAAAAUAGGAAGAAAAGGCAAGAGUUGUUAUCAUUUACUGAAUUGACUGACGAUAUGGUGUUAACUGUUGAAGAAAAUGUCAAAAGAGAUCUUAAAAGCUCAACGAAUUCGGAUUGUGAAAGUCCCAUUGAGAAGUCAUCAAUUUGAGCAUGUGGGUCUACUUACUUCUGGAGUGGCGAUUAAGCUUUUCUUAGACUAUUCUUAGAGGCCACCUGCAUAAUGGUCUCACACAAGGUACUUUUUUUUUUAAAAUGAUGAAUGAUGCUGACUCUAUGCCAGCGGAUGUUGGUACGGAACUGACAAAGGACUAAGAACUUUAAAAAGCCCAUGAUAUACACAGUGGCGAAGCUUGACCAAAAGUUUCGAGGGGGCGUAAAGUGAUGGGACCUAAAUUUUUUUCCUAUCGUUAUGUUUCGGGUCGGGUCGGCUGUUCGAUUCAGGUCAGGCCAAAUAAUAAUAGGUCGGAUAAAAAAUCGGACCAUAUACACUUCUAACCGAAACAUUGGGGUGGGCGGGUGCACACUCGGGCAUCCAUUAUACUUCACCCCUAGAUAUACAUGACUACAUGUUUACAGAAAGGAAGAUAGAUACUAAAUAUUUCAGAUUGGCGUAGAGUUGGGAUUAUAUGAAACAUCUAAAGAAAUAUCAGUUGUUUCUUAGACUCACUCGAUACUACAUUUGGUUGAGAAAAUAUAUUAUAUAAAACGGUGUGUGAUUUUUCAUAUUUAUUUGUUAAUGAGAAGCUACUUUGUGUUAAAGGGUAGGGGAUGUUAAAAUAUGUUAAUAACCGUAACUUGGGAACCAGUUGUGAGUAUAGUAACAU